Molecule: RNA transcript, 6835 nt
Organism: Oncorhynchus tshawytscha (Chinook salmon)
Lineage: Eukaryota; Metazoa; Chordata; Actinopteri; Salmoniformes; Salmonidae
Gene name: cingulin-like protein 1
Exons: 21
Source: RefSeq, a predicted model, not a curated record
GGUAACACCAGGCAAUGGGCCAGUAUAUCUGACCUCUGACCUUGUGUUUCCAUCAGCCAAUAGGAGCUCAGAGAGAGACCAGAGAGAUAUCCCCCCUUCACUGGUACAGCUGACUGAACUACUGGGGGACAAAGUGAACACACUCUGAAAGACUGUCUCACUAGACGAACAGCCUGAAAGAGGUUCAACAACAUCUGGAGCACCUGAGCUGAGUGACUUGGCAGGCCAGAGGAACGAGGUUGAGACACUCCUGAACUAAGUGACUUGGCAGGCCAGAGGAACGAGGUUGAGACACUCCUGAACUAAGUGACUUGGCAGGCCAGAGAAACGAGGUUGAGACGCUCCUGAGCUGAGUGACUUGGCAGGCCAGAGGAACGAGGUUGAGACGCUCCUGAGCUGAGUGACUUGGCAGGCCAGAGGAACGAGGUUGAGACGCUCCUGAGCUGAGUGACUUGGCAGGCCAGAGAAACGAGGUUGAGACGCUCCUGAACUGAGCUGAGUGACUUGGCAGGCAAGAGGAACGAGGUUGAGACGCUCCUGAACUAAGUGACUUGGCAGGCCAGAGAAACGAGGUUGAGACACUCCUGAACUGAGCUGAGUGACUUGGCAGGCCAGAGGAACGAGGUUGAGACGCUCCUGAGCUGAGUGACUUGGCAGGCCAGAGGAACGAGGUUGAGACGCUCCUGAACUAAGUGACUUGGCAGGCCAGAGAAACGAGGUUGAGACGCUCCUGAACUGAGCUGAGUGACUUGGCAGGCCAGAGGAACGAGGUUGAGACGCUCCUGAACUGAGUGACUUGGCAGGCCAGAGGAACGAGGUUGAGACAACAGAGAGGCCCAAAACGUAGAGGCUUGUACUUGGUUACUGCUUGCCUGGUGGGAGCUACAGAUUGCAGGUCCUGACCUCUCUACAGGACAUACUGAGAGGAGACUACAAGACUUCUCCUACAGGGUCACCCACCACAACAUGCAAGGGAAAAGUGAACACGAACACCAAGACAAUAAUAUGGAAUCAGACUUUGAUCCCAACAAGCAGCCUGAAAGUCCCCCGUCUGAGAAUGAGCCCUCCAAUCCUGUCAAAGUCCGCCAGAACCCCAAAUAUCAGCUGUUCCUGGAUGGAGACAUGAUUGGGAACGGAUCCAGGGAUACAAAUGGAACGUCUGGGAGAGAGAACGGGAACGGGAGAGAACCCAGGAACAGUUCCCGCUUGGACAGCGCUAGCUCCAGAUUCGGGCCAAACUACCGCGGGUCCCUGGAAUCGCUUGCCUCUCGGGACUGGGACACCAUGUCAGACAGGGUGGGAGGUUUUGAGAGUCCUCCCAGGGUGUUCAACAGUCCCUACGCUACAGUGGCUUCCAUGGAAUACAACCCUGGAAUGAACCGGAUGUCAGAGCAAAAGAUGCAGGAGGUGAUGUCUCCAGCCACGUCAGAGCUGAACCUGUUCAACAGCUACAACAGCAGAAGUAGCAGCCCUGUGCUCUCCUUCACCUCGGCUGCGACCUCCUCACGUGCUCGCUUCUCAACCUUCGACUCUCUCAGGAGGCGGGACCAGCCGGUGAUGCCAAGCCAACUGCCCAUACGGUCCACAGUGUCACCUGUUGCUAUGCCCAGCAAGAGAGACUACAUCGAGGAGCUGACCAGACAGAUGGAUGCCUGUCAGAAGAGGAACCAGUUCCUGGAGGCAGAGAGCAUAGAGAUGGACAAGGAGAGGAACCAGAUCAGGUUGGAGAUGAGAGGCCUGUUGGUGAACAACGAGGACCUUCUCAGAACCAACAGUACCCUGCAGACGGAGAUGAACAGGAUGAGGAUGAGGAUGGUAGAGCUGGAGAGAGACAACACGGCCAUGACGGAACGCUUCAAAGUUAUGGAGACGGAGCUGACCGAGGCCAGGGCCCAGAUGGUGGAGGCCAACACUCAGGAAUACGCCUUCAACUUCCUGCAGCAGUCUCUGAAGAAUAAGAUACAGGUCGCUGAGGAGGCGCUAGAGAAGCAGACGCUCCAUGCCCAGGGGCUGUCAGAGAAGCUGUGGCUAUCUGAGAGACAGUUGGAGGAUCUAGAGGUGGACAAGGAGACACGGGACAAGAAGAGAUCAGAGCUCAGCGACACGGUCUUCAGACUGGAGACUGAGCUAGAAGAGGCUCUACAGAAAGCCACCCAGGCGACAGCAGAGCUCAGUCUGCAACAGAAGCUACGAGAUGACGCCCUGCUGAGGGUAGAGGAGAUGGAGGAGAGUUUACUGGAGAGGGGUCAGGAGCUGCAGAUAGCCCAACAGACUGUCAGCCGCCUACAGGGACAGGUGUCCGAUAAGCUGAUAGAUAAGGAGCGUUCUCUGGAGGAGGAGAUCCAGCUGAGAGAGAGAGUUCAGCUGCAGUGGAAGCAGGCAGAGAGGAGCGUAGAGGACCUAACCAUGGAGCUACAGACUGCUGCACAGACCAAGGAAGACCUGGUCAAGCAACUCAAACAGGCUCAGGAGAAACUGUUAGAUCUUGAGAGCGACCUGGAGGAGAUGCAGGACAGUGAACAGAGAUGGGCCAGCAAGAACAAGAGAGCCAUCGAACAGACAGAACAGCUCCAGCUGAAGCUGAUCCAGCAGAAAGACGUGAAUGAGCAGCUGGACAGUGAGAAGAGCAUCCUGGAGAGACAGCUGCGGGACCUGCGUGUGGAGGUGGAGAAUCUCCAACACACCAGAGUUCAUGAGGAUGUCAUCACUAAGACGGAGAGCCGGGCCAAGGAGCUGGAGAACGCUCUGAGGGUGGAGGAGAGGAACAAGGUGGUGAUGAACAACACCAUCAGUAAACUGGAGAGGAAGAACAACGAACUGUCUGAUCAACUGGAGGAGGAACAUAAGAUGGCCAAGGAGCAGAAGGACCUGAUGUCCCAGAGGAUGCGUUCCCUGAAGCGUCAGCUGAACGAGGCAGAGGAGGAGUCCAGUCGUAGAGACGCUCAGUACCGCCACACCCAGAGAGAACUGACAGAGGAGAGAGAGACCUCUAACAGACUACAGAAACAGCUCCUAGACCAGCACCUCCAACUCAAACGUAAGGAGUCCACCAUGGCGAUGAGACAGACUCUGGAAGAUCUACGUCUGGACCUUAGUGUGGAUGAGGAGGACCAGACCCUUCCAGUACCCACGGCCUCCAAGGCCUGAGACACCCUUCCUGGGACAGUAUUACAGCAUAGCACCAGCCAUACUAGCCUUACUCAUAACGCCUUUGUCCUAGAUUCAAUCCGGCCUGCAGAAGAUCCAUGUCAUAGCGCGAUUGACAUUUAUAGCUCAUUUCCCAUUGAUCCGGCAUAUGCAGCAUUCAACGUGAAUGUGGGUCUCAGCGAAUGGUGGGAACGUUGCCUUUGAAACGUGCAUAAAUGGGACAAAAUGAGAUGGGAUUGAAUCUAGGUAUAAAGGUACCAUUCAUACCACCAAUACAGGACGUACAGGGAACUUACAGCAGCAUCCUGUCAGCCAAUCAAAUCAGCACCCGCGUGUUUGAUUUUCAGGUUCAGCCAAUCAAAUCAGUACCCGCGUGUUUGAUUUUCAGGUUCAGCCAAUCAAAUCAGCACCCGCGUGUUUGAUUUUCAGGUUCAGCCAAUCAAAUCAGCACCCGCGUGUUUGAUUUUCAGGUUCAGCCAAUCAAAUCAGUACCCGCGUGUUUGAUUUUCAGGUUCAGCCAAUCAAAUCAGCACCCGCGUGUUUGAUUUUCAGGUUCAGCCAAUCAAAUCAGGUUCAAAAAAUUACUGUAGCAUCUGAUAAAACAUUGUUUUAUAUUUUUUAUUAAAUCAAUCAAAAAUCUGCAGGUAAUGUAAAAUGUAAACCAGGUUGUCUUUACUUCCAUCAGGCUGCGUUUCCCUCUGGGUCCCAAAUGAGGUGCACAUUGAGGUUUUUACACUACACAGCUGGUUUAAAUGAUCUAAGCUUUAAUCAGCCGUGUAUUCGGACCCCCUUUGGGGUCCCGAGGUCAGAGUUUGUGAAACCCUGCUAUAAGGGAGUUUAUUUGGUAAAACUCCUUUUUUAAAUGUAAGUAAAUUAAAAUCCUAUGGGCUUGUAUCUUUCCUGAUUCAUUACUAAUGCCUUAACAGAGAUAAUCAAUUGGAAAAUAAAAAACAUUUUAUUAAAUCAAUUGUGUCAAAUAUGACUAACAAUAAAAAUAGACAGGAUUUGGGGAUUAUGUAAUGUUAGAGGGAUUUGGGGAUUAUGUAAUGUUAGAGGGAUUUGGGGAUUAUGUAAUGUUAGAGGGAUUUGGGGAUUAUGUAAUGUUAGAGGGAUUUGGGGAUUAUGUAAUGUUAGAGGGAUUUGGGCAAUAUUGUCUGCAAAUUACCAAAGCAAAUCUGUUGCAAAAUGUAGUUUAAUAGUUUGUUAGAAGCUUUAUACAUUCAUUUCCACUUAUCUUAUAUCUACAUGGUAUUGGGUAUUACUGUGCUACACUGUAGACUUUGGGGAAAAGGGCGCUGUAUUUUAUUAAUAUAUAUAAAUGGAAAAUCUUUAUUUUCACACCCAUUGAGCAGAAUGUGGAAGUGUCUUCCUUUUACGAUGCUUGGCGGACAGACAGCCUGAAUGAGUGAAGUCGGUGGGACCAUUUACCAGUAUACUGCACUGUUUACAACACUUGUUACUUCAACCCUGAGCUAAACAUGGGUGAGCAGAACCUGGGCGAGCAGAACCUGGGCGUGCAGAACCUGGGUGAGCAGAACCUGGGCGAGCAGAACCUGGGCGAGCAGAACCUGGGCGAGCAGAACCUGGGCGAGCAGAACCUGGAUGAGCAGAACCUGGAUGAGCAGAACCUGGAUGAGCAGACCCUGGGAGUGAGUGAGGACCCAAGACAAAUGUUUCACAGAAGAGGAAAGAGACCAUGUUAUUCUCGCGUUGGGGAAUCUAAAAGGGAAUCUAUUCUGUCUGCAUUGUGGGAAGCUGCUGGAUCUUACCGGAUGGAUCUGAAUGACUUGCUGUCCUGCUGUUUACAUGACAGGACAGGUGGAAUCACUAACAGUCACUGUGUACUCUACUGGCAUAAACCGACGAUAAACAUGCAUUAGACAGGACAGGACAGGUGGAAUCACUAACAGUCACUGUGUACUCAGGCUCCUCCCUCACUGAGGUGGAAUCACUAACAGACACUGUGUACUCAGGCUCCUCCCUCACUGAGGUGGAAUCACUAACAGACACUGUGUACUCAGGCUCCUCCCUCACUGAGGUGGAAUCACUAACAGACACUGUGUACUCAGGCUCCUCCCUCACUGAGGUGGAAUCACUAACAGACACUGUGUACUCAGGCUCCUCCCUCACUGAGGUGGAAUCACUAACAGACACUGUGUACUCAGGCUCCUCCCUCACCGAGGUGGAAUCACUAACAGUCACUGUGUACUCAGGCUCCUCCCUCACUGAGGUGGAAUCACUAACAGACACUGUGUACUCAGGCUCCUCCCUCACCGAGGUGGAAUCACUAACAGUCACUGUGUACUCAGGCUCCUCCCUCACCGAGGUGGAAUCACUAACAGACACUGUGUACUCAGGCUCCUCCCUCACUGAGGUGGAAUCACUAACAGUCACUGUGUACUCAGGCUCCUCCCUCACUGAGGUGGAAUCACUAACAGUCACUGUGUACUCAGGCUCCUCCCUCACUGAGGUGGAAUCACUAACAGACACUGUGUACUCAGGCUCCUCCAUCACUGAGGUGGAAUCACUAACAGACACUGUGUACUCAGGCUCCUCCAUCACUGAGGUGGAAUCACUAACAGACACUGUGUACUCAGGCUCCUCCCUCACUGAGGUGGAAUCACUAACAGACACUGUGUACUCAGGCUCCUCCAUCACUGAGCAGGUAGGCGUGAGGAUCUCGUGUGUAUUGUGAUGGGAUUUUAUAUUGUGAUAAGAUGUUUUCUGGGUGUUUUUCUGGUUGUAUAGAGCUCCCCUCUAUUGGGUCACUGUCAGGGGAAACGUACAGUAUUUCGGUUGGCAAAAUGUUCCUUUUCUCCUUUCUUCUUCGCUGGCAAAACCAAAUAAAAGGGGACGCAGUGUUAUUGAGGCCCUGUUUUUUUUCUAUAAUCUACUAUAGGCCUAUAAAUUAAAACGAUAGAGAGCAAUAUUAAUGGCGUCUUUUUGAGGGCGCUAAAGGAGGCUAACUCCACCUUGUUUGACAAAUUAAUGUUUUUUUUUGUUGUUGUUGGUUGUUUGUUGGUUUGGGAUAUUAAAUGGUCAAAAUAAGGCAUGUGGUAAACACAGACUUAGGCGAUUUUAUACAUUUAGUUCUAUGAGAUCAUCUUCGUCAGCUAACAUCACUUUUUUUGUGAAUUUUGAAGCAUUUAUGUACUCAAAACAAGUGAAAAGCUACCGAUGUGCUAACAUGUAAAAAAUAAAUAAAUGAAACUACACGUCAGGUUGCCUUUGACGUCUCCAACGAAGCUCGAGAACUCCUAACACUUGGCUGUUGUAGUUCCAUUUCUGACAGCUAGCGACUCUUUAGCAACGGACUCAUUUUGAUUCAUAGAGGUCAUGUUAACUGACUGAUUCUGGUGUUAACCUCAAACCUUAUUGCCCCGUUUAUUUCACCCAUAGGAAUGUCUGCACGAUCCAGAUGUAGAAACUAACAACUCAUUAAAUUAUUUUUUUAUGGCUUCGAGCUAGCGAGUUCUGUAAGUGAUAUUAUUUUCACGUGACUUCAGACGUCACGUGACUUCAGACGUCACGUGACUUCAGACGUCACGUGACUUCAGACGUCACGUGACUUCAGACGUCACGUGACUUCAGACGUCACAUGCUAAAGGUGCUGGUAUUUAUUCUCCUUUUCUGAUGUUUUUAUCUUCCUACAACUAUGAAUGUUAAUAUUAAAUACUUUUUGUUUUAA